Molecule: ribosomal RNA, 3392 nt
Filed under: Drosophila melanogaster (fruit fly)
Lineage: Eukaryota; Metazoa; Arthropoda; Insecta; Diptera; Drosophilidae
Description: eukaryotic LSU rRNA
Rfam family: Eukaryotic large subunit ribosomal RNA (bases 573-3392)
Source: RNAcentral
ACUCUAAGCGGUGGAUCACUCGGCUCAUGGGUCGAUGAAGAACGCAGCAAACUGUGCGUCAUCGUGUGAACUGCAGGACACAUGAACAUCGACAUUUUGAACGCAUAUCGCAGUCCAUGCUGUUAUGUACUUUAAUUAAUUUUAUAGUGCUGCUUGGACUACAUAUGGUUGAGGGUUGUAAGACUAUGCUAAUUAAGUUGCUUAUAAAUUUUUAUAAGCAUAUGGUAUAUUAUUGGAUAAAUAUAAUAAUUUUUAUUCAUAAUAUUAAAAAAUAAAUGAAAAACAUUAUCUCACAUUUGAAUGUGAAAAACGAAGAGAAAUAUUUUCUUUUUCAAUCAAAUAAUACUGAGAAAUGUCUAGCAUAAAAAAUUGAAAUAUUUUUCAUCUAGAAUUGUCUCUUAUUAAUGAUUCGGAAAUAGAAAAAUCUUGGUUAUGUUAUUAUUCUUCGUUGGUUCGUUAAAAAUGGAUAAAUAAAAACUUUGCAUACAAGAAUUAAUAAAAAUGUUAUAACGAAUUUAAUUAAAUGUUUUAUCAUUAUAUAUAAAGAAUUUAUGGCAAGAUAAAGUUAUAUACAACCUCAACUCAUAUGGGACUACCCCCUGAAUUUAAGCAUAUUAAUUAGGGGAGGAAAAGAAACUAACAAGGAUUUUCUUAGUAGCGGCGAGCGAAAAGAAAACAGUUCAGCACUAAGUCACUUUGUCUAUAUGGCAAAUGUGAGAUGCAGUGUAUGGAGCGUCAAUAUUCUAGUAUGAGAAAUUAACGAUUUAAGUCCUUCUUAAAUGAGGCCAUUUACCCAUAGAGGGUGCCAGGCCCGUAUAACGUUAAUGAUUACUAGAUGAUGUUUCCAAAGAGUCGUGUUGCUUGAUAGUGCAGCACUAAGUGGGUGGUAAACUCCAUCUAAAACUAAAUAUAACCAUGAGACCGAUAGUAAACAAGUACCGUGAGGGAAAGUUGAAAAGAACUCUGAAUAGAGAGUUAAACAGUACGUGAAACUGCUUAGAGGUUAAGCCCGAUGAACCUGAAUAUCCGUUAUGGAAAAUUCAUCAUUAAAAUUGUAAUAUUUAAAUAAUAUUAUGAGAAUAGUGUGCAUUUUUUCCAUAUAAGGACAUUGUAAUCUAUUAGCAUAUACCAAAUUUAUCAUAAAAUAUAACUUAUAGUUUAUUCCAAUUAAAUUGCUUGCAUUUUAACACAGAAUAAAUGUUAUUAAUUUGAUAAAGUGCUGAUAGAUUUAUAUGAUUACAGUGCGUUAAUUUUUCGGAAUUAUAUAAUGGCAUAAUUAUCAUUGAUUUUUGUGUUUAUUAUAUGCACUUGUAUGAUUAACAAUGCGAAAGAUUCAGGAUACCUUCGGGACCCGUCUUGAAACACGGACCAAGGAGUCUAACAUAUGUGCAAGUUAUUGGGAUAUAAACCUAAUAGCGUAAUUAACUUGACUAAUAAUGGGAUUAGUUUUUUAGCUAUUUAUAGCUAAUUAACACAAUCCCGGGGCGUUCUAUAUAGUUAUGUAUAAUGUAUAUUUAUAUUAUUUAUGCCUCUAACUGGAACGUACCUUGAGCAUAUAUGCUGUGACCCGAAAGAUGGUGAACUAUACUUGAUCAGGUUGAAGUCAGGGGAAACCCUGAUGGAAGACCGAAACAGUUCUGACGUGCAAAUCGAUUGUCAGAAUUGAGUAUAGGGGCGAAAGACCAAUCGAACCAUCUAGUAGCUGGUUCCUUCCGAAGUUUCCCUCAGGAUAGCUGGUGCAUUUUAAUAUUAUAUAAAAUAAUCUUAUCUGGUAAAGCGAAUGAUUAGAGGCCUUAGGGUCGAAACGAUCUUAACCUAUUCUCAAACUUUAAAUGGGUAAGAACCUUAACUUUCUUGAUAUGAAGUUCAAGGUUAUGAUAUAAUGUGCCCAGUGGGCCACUUUUGGUAAGCAGAACUGGCGCUGUGGGAUGAACCAAACGUAAUGUUACGGUGCCCAAAUUAACAACUCAUGCAGAUACCAUGAAAGGCGUUGGUUGCUUAAAACAGCAGGACGGUGAUCAUGGAAGUCGAAAUCCGCUAAGGAGUGUGUAACAACUCACCUGCCGAAGCAACUAGCCCUUAAAAUGGAUGGCGCUUAAGUUGUAUACCUAUACAUUACCGCUAAAGUAGAUGAUUUAUAUUACUUGUGAUAUAAAUUUUGAAACUUUAGUGAGUAGGAAGGUACAAUGGUAUGCGUAGAAGUGUUUGGCGUAAGCCUGCAUGGAGCUGCCAUUGGUACAGAUCUUGGUGGUAGUAGCAAAUAAUCGAAUGAGACCUUGGAGGACUGAAGUGGAGAAGGGUUUCGUGUGAACAGUGGUUGAUCACGAGUUAGUCGGUCCUAAGUUCAAGGCGAAAGCCGAAAAUUUUCAAGUAAAACAAAAAUGCCUAACUAUAUAAACAAAGCGAAUUAUAAUACACUUGAAUAAUUUUGAACGAAAGGGAAUACGGUUCCAAUUCCGUAACCUGUUGAGUAUCCGUUUGUUAUUAAAUAUGGGCCUCGUGCUCAUCCUGGCAACAGGAACGACCAUAAAGAAGCCGUCGAGAGAUAUCGGAAGAGUUUUCUUUUCUGUUUUAUAGCCGUACUACCAUGGAAGUCUUUCGCAGAGAGAUAUGGUAGAUGGGCUAGAAGAGCAUGACAUAUACUGUUGUGUCGAUAUUUUCUCCUCGGACCUUGAAAAUUUAUGGUGGGGACACGCAAACUUCUCAACAGGCCGUACCAAUAUCCGCAGCUGGUCUCCAAGGUGAAGAGUCUCUAGUCGAUAGAAUAAUGUAGGUAAGGGAAGUCGGCAAAUUAGAUCCGUAACUUCGGGAUAAGGAUUGGCUCUGAAGAUUGAGAUAGUCGGGCUUGAUUGGGAAACAAUAACAUGGUUUAUGUGCUCGUUCUGGGUAAAUAGAGUUUCUAGCAUUUAUGUUAGUUACUUGUUCCCCGGAUAGUUUAGUUACGUAGCCAAUUGUGGAACUUUCUUGCUAAAAUUUUUAAGAAUACUAUUUGGGUUAAACCAAUUAGUUCUUAUUAAUUAUAACGAUUAUCAAUUAACAAUCAAUUCAGAACUGGCACGGACUUGGGGAAUCCGACUGUCUAAUUAAAACAAAGCAUUGUGAUGGCCCUAGCGGGUGUUGACACAAUGUGAUUUCUGCCCAGUGCUCUGAAUGUCAAAGUGAAGAAAUUCAAGUAAGCGCGGGUCAACGGCGGGAGUAACUAUGACUCUCUUAAGGAUCAUUAUUGAGCAGGGGAUAUUUUCUGUAUUGUAAUCAUAUCAUUAUUGUCUUCUCUCUUUACUCAAGUCGACUCAAACUCCUCGUGGUGGUCCCGUAAUGCUAAACUCGUUUAGCAGCUAAUUGAGCGGCAAACUUUUCCGAUGGCUGGUUCCCAGAGGAAUUAUUCAUAUUGG